GGCAGCAGUGAGGAAUAUUGGACAAUGGAGGCAACUCUGAUCCAGCCAUGCCGCGUGCAGGAAGACUGCCCUAUGGGUUGUAAACUGCUUUUAUAUAGGAAGAAACCUUGGUACGUGUACCAAGCUGACGGUACUAUAAGAAUAAGGAUCGGCUAACUCCGUGCCAGCAGCCGCGGUAAUACGGAGGAUCCAAGCGUUAUCCGGAAUCAUUGGGUUUAAAGGGUCCGUAGGUGGAUAAUUAAGUCAGAGGUGAAAUCUUGCAGCUCAACUGUAAAAUUGCCUUUGAUACUGGUUAUCUUGAGUUAUUAUGAAGUAGUUAGAAUAUGUAGUGUAGCGGUGAAAUGCAUAGAUAUUACAUAGAAUACCAAUUGCGAAGGCAGAUUACUAAUAAUCAACUGACACUGAUGGACGAAAGCGUGGGUAGCGAACAGGAUUAGAUACCCUGGUAGUCCACGCCGUAAACGAUGGUUACUAGCUGUUUGGACCUUGUGUCUGAGUGGCUAAGCGAAAGUGAUAAGUAACCCACCUGGGGAGUACGUUCGCAAGAAUGAAACUCAAAGGAAUUGACGG
This 570-nucleotide ribosomal RNA is filed under the name uncultured Flavobacterium sp. RNAcentral's name for it is "bacterial SSU rRNA". It matches the Rfam family "Bacterial small subunit ribosomal RNA", at positions 347 to 916 of the family's 1533-position model. The record is from RNAcentral. Lineage: Bacteria; Pseudomonadati; Bacteroidota; Flavobacteriia; Flavobacteriales; Flavobacteriaceae.